GUUCAAUGGUUGAGUGUUGUGAUUGAGUGUGUGAGGUUUUGAGUUCGAGUCUUUCUUUUGAAAUUUUGUUAAUUUUUGGUUCUAUCCCUAUUUCAGAUCAUUUGACUUAAUUUUUUUGUACAAGUUAUGACAGAAUGAGUUUGUUGGUUUAGUAGUAAGAUAUCAACUUACCUUUAAGUCUUGUGUUUGAAUCUUGUGUUAUG
Molecule: long non-coding RNA, 203 nt
Filed under: Gossypium raimondii (Peruvian cotton)
Lineage: Eukaryota; Viridiplantae; Streptophyta; Magnoliopsida; Malvales; Malvaceae
Description: long non-coding RNA (GRAI_LNC004543)
Source: RNAcentral